UACCCCUAUCCUUUCUCUUUUCUUGAAGGGAAUGGCUGAAAAACAUCAGACGUUGAGAAGGUAAAGAGUGGUUAACCAGAGAAAGAGAAGACCAAGAGUAGAUACAAGGGAGGAUAUGAAGGGAAAAGAAAGGCUGAAAAAGCAAAUAAGUGAAGAAGGCAAAGAACAGAACAAAGAUUAAAAGAGGAAGGAGACGAAAUUUAAGUAGGGAAAUAUCAGGAUUGUUGAGUCUGAUUUUCCCUUUUGGUUGGAGACCUUUUUGGAUGACUCAGAGAUGUGGACUGGGAGCUUUCUUAUCCUCUGUGAUCUACAGGGCUCAAAAGAGGUCUCACAGCUCUGGAUACCAAGGGAAGUGAGGUGCGUUCCUGGCUGCAGAUGAAUCACAAAGCCUUACCCUUUUCCUCAAUAUUUCACUCCUGGCUAGUAAGGGAGUUCCUUGCUCAGCUGGUUUCUGAUGUUGCCUUUUUCAGCUGCUGAACUCUUCCUAGGCAUCCACUGGGGAGUCUGGGUAUCUAACUGUGGCUGAGGGCUGCAGGAGGUGGUAAGGUAUUUUGGAGCUGGGCAUUACAGGGCUCAACACUGAAGGGUGUCUUUUGGAGCUGGACGUUGCAGGAUGUCUGGGGUUGGUGGGGGAGGUGCUUUAAUUAGAGCAGCUCUCGGGAGCUGCUCUAAU
RNAcentral lists this long non-coding RNA (673 nucleotides) under Crocodylus porosus (Australian saltwater crocodile). Its description in RNAcentral is "lncRNA (ENSCPRG00005017997.1)". The record is from RNAcentral. Lineage: Eukaryota; Metazoa; Chordata; Crocodylia; Crocodylidae.